GAUGAACGCUGGCGGCGUGCCUAAUACAUGCAAGUCGAGCGAACAGACGAGGAGCUUGCUCCUCUGACGUUAGCGGCGGACGGGUGAGUAACACGUGGAUAACCUACCUAUAAGACUGGGAUAACUUCGGGAAACCGGAGCUAAUACCGGAUAAUAUAUUGAACCGCAUGGUUCAAUAGUGAAAGACGGUUUUGCUGUCACUUAUAGAUGGAUCCGCGCCGCAUUAGCUAGUUGGUAAGGUAACGGCUUACCAAGGCAACGAUGCGUAGCCGACCUGAGAGGAUGAUCGGCCACACUGGAACUGAGACACGGUCCAGACUCCUACGGGAGGCAGCAGUAGGGAAUCUUCCGCAAUGGGCGAAAGCCUGACGGAGCAACGCCGCGUGAGUGAUGAAGGUCUUCGGAUCGUAAAGCUCUGUUGUUAGGGAAGAACAAAUGUGUAAGUAAAUAUGCACGUCUUGACGGUACCUAAUCAGAAAGCCACGGCUAACUACGUG
RNAcentral lists this ribosomal RNA (497 nucleotides) under uncultured bacterium. Its description in RNAcentral is "partial 16S ribosomal RNA". It matches the Rfam family "Bacterial small subunit ribosomal RNA", at positions 28 to 507 of the family's 1533-position model. The record is from RNAcentral.